CCUGGGCUACUGGGGUAUUAUGCAAUCUGUGCCUGGGCGUAGCCCUUCUUUUUUAUAGGUACCAAAAGUAAUCAAUGUAAGUCAUAGAUUUAGUAAGCACUUUUACUAAUUCCAUGAUGGUGUAUGUAAGUAGGUUUGAUGAAACCUUCCUUCAGCGACGUUGAAAACUGAAAACUAAAAGAUAGGUAUGCCAAUCAGAAAGUCAAUUAAUUAAUUGUCAAAUCAUCAAUUUUGGUGAAAAAUCAAUUUCUACGUUUUCCAGCACACAAACUUAUAUUUGAGUCGCGUUUUAAAAUGAUUGGGUUUAAACAUAUAACGAAUGGUUUUUUGCGAAGCAAGGGUGUUCUUUUGAAAAUACAUCCUCCAAUGAAAACUCAGAUUCGUCAUCAUGAUGAUCACGGCCCGCCAGCACCGUUUGAGAACAUGCCCUUUAAGGUUACAAAUAGGUACAUAUGCUCCGUUGUCUUUGGAAUCUUCUUUGGAAUCGGACUUUGGGCCCCAUAUCUCAUCCUGUGGUACUCCAUGGCCAAGAGAACAUUGUAAUUCAAGGUGUUUAGCCAAAUAAACAUUAUUUCUUA
This is a long non-coding RNA of Plodia interpunctella (Indianmeal moth), 578 nucleotides long. RefSeq lists it as uncharacterized. Lineage: Eukaryota; Metazoa; Arthropoda; Insecta; Lepidoptera; Pyralidae. The transcript is spliced from 2 exons. The record is from RefSeq and is a predicted model, not a curated record.